Molecule: ribosomal RNA, 253 nt
Filed under: uncultured bacterium
Lineage: Bacteria
Description: partial 16S ribosomal RNA
Rfam family: Bacterial small subunit ribosomal RNA
Source: RNAcentral
UACAGAGGUCUCAAGCGUUGUUCGGAUUCAUUGGGCGUAAAGGGUGCGUAGGUGGCGAUGCAAGUCUGGUGUGAAAUCUCGGAGCUUAACUCCGAAACUGCACCGGAUACUGCGUUGCUCGAGGAUUGUAGAGGAGAGUGGAAUUCACGGUGUAGCAGUGAAAUGCGUAGAUAUCGUGAGGAAGACCAGUUGCGAAGGCGACUCUCUGGGCAAUUCCUGACACUGAGGCACGAAGGCCAGGGGAGCAAACGGG